This 27-nucleotide small RNA is filed under the name Bombyx mori (domestic silkworm). Its description in RNAcentral is "ovarian small RNA-24346". Lineage: Eukaryota; Metazoa; Arthropoda; Insecta; Lepidoptera; Bombycidae. The record is from RNAcentral.
UAUUUUGAAAUUGGAUGCAAUGGACGA